This is a long non-coding RNA of Dromaius novaehollandiae (emu), 833 nucleotides long. RefSeq lists it as uncharacterized. The transcript is spliced from 3 exons. The record is from RefSeq and is a predicted model, not a curated record. NCBI's taxonomy places the organism in Eukaryota, Metazoa, Chordata, Aves, Casuariiformes, Dromaiidae.
UUUUCAUUUUGGUUUUUUAACAAAGCAGAGCUUGGGAUAUUCGGUGCUGUUUUUUAUAGGUGAAACACAAACCUGAAGUCUUUAGUAUACACUCUUCUUAGAAGAAUACCAGCUGUGAUAUCCUGGAGAGCUGACUGUGUGAAUAUGUUUUGCCUGCCAGAUUUCUCCAUAUGUAUCCUUUGCUGGGUUUUUGUUUGUUUUAAUCUUUGUCUUAUAACCUGUUUGGUUCUGUCACAUCAAAUGUGCUGCAGAUGGAGGAUACACAAGACGUAGCAUUAUGGGUUCCUUAUUGUCAGGUGAGAUCUUCCUGCGGCCACAAUAUGUACCCUUGUCUCCUGACCAGUUCUCUGUAAUGUGAGCUCUGUCUUUGGCUGCUACUUUGCUUCUUAUUCAGCAACUAACUAUGACUGGGAAACUGCUAACAUAACUUUCCGCAGGGGCAGGCCUUGCGCUUCAGUAUCCUUCUGCCACCAAAUCUUAUUCAGCGUGUUCCUGAGCUCUUGUUCUAGUCUCCCAAAACUCUGGCCUGUGAAGAAAUAGCAAGAAGGCACAAACUGUUUAUUUCCUCAAAAUUUGUUUGUGAGGCUUGAAGGUGAAUUCUCUCGGAGAGGGGUGAUUUAACCCAUCACAUGCAGAGAUGACUCCGUAGAAGCAGGGAAAUCGUCUCGGCCUUUCCUUCCAUUUGGUGACAACUUUUUAACAAGGGCUUCACGAGCGUUCCCGGGAGAUCUUUCUAGCACAUUGCUGUCAAGAACAAAUAAGCAAGCCUGCUCUACCUGCAGAAGCAUGUGAGGAUGGAUCAGUCUCUGUAUCUUUUUGUUCCUGCCACAGUA